This 460-nucleotide ribosomal RNA is filed under the name uncultured bacterium. RNAcentral's name for it is "partial 16S ribosomal RNA". It matches the Rfam family "Bacterial small subunit ribosomal RNA", at positions 338 to 795 of the family's 1533-position model. The record is from RNAcentral.
CCUACGGGAGGCAGCAGUGAGGAAUAUUGGUCAAUGGACGAGAGUCUGAACCAGCCAAGUAGCGUGAAGGAUGACUGCCCUAUGGGUUGUAAACUUCUUUUAUAUGGGAAUAAAAUGUUCCACGUGUGGGAUUUUGUAUGUACCAUAUGAAUAAGGAUCGGCUAACUCCGUGCCAGCAGCCGCGGUAAUACGGAGGAUCCGAGCGUUAUCCGGAUUUAUUGGGUUUAAAGGGAGCGUAGGUGGAUUGUUAAGUCAGUUGUGAAAGUUUGCGGCUCAACCGUAAAAUUGCAGUUGAAACUGACAGUCUUGAGUACAGUAGAGGUGGGCGGAAUUCGUGGUGUAGCGGUGAAAUGCUUAGAUAUCACGAAGAACUCCGAUUGCGAAGGCAGUUCACUGGACUGCAACUGACACUGAGGCUCGAAAGUGUGGGUAUCAAACAGGAUUAGGUACCCCUGUAGUC